UGGUUCUACAGCAUUCCCUAGCUCUAGCUGCAGUCAUUUUAGACCCUGUUUACAGCUGGUAAUAAGACGCGUUUCGGAUGAUCCGAUCACAAAGAAGUGUGACAAGUCUGCAGAUGGACGUCUAGAACAUGAGGAGAUUGAGCUGAGAUUAAUGCUCUAUUUUUUUCCUAUUCUGGAAAGUCAUUCAAAGGCUUCACCAUAUCCUCUUAUUCUGUCUCUGGAGAACCACUGGUCUGUGGAGCAGCAGACGAUCCUGGCCCAGCAGCUGCGUUCCAUUCUGGGGGACAAACUGCUUACCAAACCUCUUAAUGAUAAGCCAUUGGAGUGCCUACCAUCACCAGAGGACCUUAAAUGAAAGAUUUUGCUAAAAGGAAAGAAGAAUAGAGUGGAGCAGGAUACCUCCAGCACUGACUCAAGCUCCUCAGAAGAUGAAUCUAAAGGCGAUAGCAAACCUAAAGUCCAAAAGAGUCCAGAGCUGUCUGAUCUGGUGUUGUACACCUGCGGCGUUUCCUUCCAAGGAUUUAAUCAAUCUGCCAAGAAUCCUCCCAAUGAGAUGAACUCUUUCUCUGAGAGUGGCGCAUCGAAACUUAUCAAAGAGUCAGGGAAGCUCUUUGUGCGUCACAACAGCAUGCAUUUGAGCAGAAUCUACCCAUUUGGUUGUCACGAACCCCGCUCCUCUGCUUCUCCCCGCAUCGUCUAGCACACACACGCACACUCCCUCACUCCGCCCCCUCGAGCUUUUCAUGCUCUUUUUGCUCGCUCGAGCCCUCAUGCCCACUUUGCUCCUACUCGCUCACAUGCUCGUAGGCAAUCUCCCUUCCUCGAGUUUCUCACGCGCUUCCAAUCCCCAGAACAUUAUGACCACCUGCACUCGCGUCAUCUGCACUCCUGCACAUUAGUUUCACCUGCACUCGUCUCAUCACCUGUCAUGGUUUACACCUGCACUCGCCCCAAUAUAUAUCACUACCCUUUCGUCUCACGGUUGUUGGUUAUUUUAUUUAGUUUCCCGUGUCUUUGCCCCCCGCUAGUCUCGUCUAGUUUUGAACUCCUCUUGUCUUCCUCUUAGCUUGCCAGCUCCCCUUGUUCCCCUGUCUUUUGCUCCCACUAGUCUCGUCAUUCUUAUAUCCUGUUUCCCCGGCUCUCGACCCUACACUUACCUCGACCAUUCUCCCUCUGGAUUUUCCCCACUGUACCUUCGUCUGCUCUUUAAAAAUAAAAGCAGUUUUGAUUUACAUUGUGACUGUCUCGUCUUGUGGGUGUGUGAGCGGGUUACAGAAUAACCAACCUCACCGUAGACAGUCACAAUGCCCCGCGCUAUGGAUUCGCGCAGCUCACUGGAGCGGAGAAGCACGUCACAUUCGGCGCGAGGAGCUACAGUGUGGAGAGAUGACCACGCGCUCACGGCCCAGGGGCAGCAGGUAUGCGCUAUUUCUGAUUUGUUUCACCCUAUUUCACCUGUGUCUGCCCCUGAGCCCGUUUAUGCCUCCAGUGCAUUUCUGAGCGCCGUGCACUCUCCACCCCCGGAGAGGUUUUAUGGCUCUUCGGACGCUGACCAAGGGUUUUUUAUGCGAGGCAGUGGUUGUGUAACUCAUAACACCGCCCUCGACAUUA
Long non-coding RNA from Xyrauchen texanus (razorback sucker), 1611 nucleotides. RefSeq lists it as uncharacterized. The transcript is spliced from 6 exons. The record is from RefSeq and is a predicted model, not a curated record. Lineage: Eukaryota; Metazoa; Chordata; Actinopteri; Cypriniformes; Catostomidae.